RNAcentral lists this ribosomal RNA (253 nucleotides) under uncultured bacterium. Its description in RNAcentral is "partial 16S ribosomal RNA". It matches the Rfam family "Bacterial small subunit ribosomal RNA", at positions 524 to 776 of the family's 1533-position model. The record is from RNAcentral.
UACGGGGGGGGCAAGCGUUGUUCGGAAUUACUGGGCGUAAAGGGCUCGUAGGCGGCCAACUAAGUCAGACGUGAAAUCCCCAGGCUCAACCUGGGAACUGCGUCUGAUACUGGAUGGCUUGAAUCCGGGAGAGGGAUGCAGAAUUCCAGGUGUAGCGGUGAAAUGCGUAGAUAUCUGGAGGAACACCUGAGGCGAAGGCGGGCUACUGGGCUGAUACUGACGCUGAGGCGCGAAAGCUAGGGGAGCAAACGGG